GACGAACGCUGGCGGCGUGCUUAACACAUGCAAGUCGAACGGAAACGCCCUGCUUUUGUGGGGACCUCUAGUGGCGAACGGGUGAGUAACACGUGAGUACCCUGUCCCUGACUUUGGGAUAACUUCAUAAAACUGGGGCUCAUACCGCCUAGGAGUUCCUGCUGCAUGGUGGGGGUUGGAUAGUUUCGGCGGUUGGUGAUGUACUCGCGGCUUAUCAGCUUGUUGGUUGGGUAGUGGCUUAGCAAGGCUUUGACGCGUAGCCGGGCUGAGAGGCGGACCGGACACGUUAGGAUGGAGAUGCGGCACAGACUCCUACGGGACGCAGGAGAGGAGAAUAGUGCAUAAGGGGCGGAAGGCUGAUGCAGCAAAGCCGCGUGCGGGAUGAGGGCAAGCGGGUUGGAAUGCGAUGUCGCCUGUGACGAAGCGUGAGUGACGGUAAUGGGUGAAGAAGCACCGGCUAACUACGUG
RNAcentral lists this ribosomal RNA (468 nucleotides) under uncultured bacterium. RNAcentral's name for it is "partial 16S ribosomal RNA". It matches the Rfam family "Bacterial small subunit ribosomal RNA", at positions 28 to 507 of the family's 1533-position model. The record is from RNAcentral.